Molecule: ribosomal RNA, 464 nt
Filed under: uncultured bacterium
Lineage: Bacteria
Description: partial 16S ribosomal RNA
Rfam family: Bacterial small subunit ribosomal RNA
Source: RNAcentral
GACGAACGCUGGCGGCGUGCUUAACACAUGCCAGUCGAACGGAAAGGCCCAGCUUGCUGGGUGCUCGAGUGGCGAACGGGUGAGUAACACGUGGGUGAUCUGCCCCUAACUUCGGGAUAAGCUUGGGAAACUGGGUCUAAUACCGGAUAGGACAAUCGUUUAGUGUCGGUUGUGGAAAGUUUUUUCGGUUAGGGAUGAGCCCGCGGCCUAUCAGCUUGUUGGUGGGGUAAUGGCCUACCAAGGCGUCGACGGGUAGCCGGCCUGAGAGGGUGGACGGCCACAUUGGGACUGAGAUACGGCCCAGACUCCUACGGGAGACAGCAGUGGGGAAUAUUGCACAAUGGGCGCAAGCCUGAUGCAGCGACGCCGCGUGGGGGAUGACGGCCUUCGGGUUGUAAACCUCUUUCGACAGGGACGAAGCUUUGGUGACGGUACCUGUAUAAGAAGCACCGGCUAACUACGUG